UGGGGAAUUUUGCACAAUGGAGGAAACUCUGAUGCAGCGACGCCGCGUGAGUGAUGAAGAUCUUCGGAUUGUAAAACUCUGUCCUUAGUGAAGAUAAUGACAGUAACUAAGAAGCAAGCCCUGGCUAAAUACGUGCCAGCAGCCGCGGUAAUACGUAUGGGGCAAGCGUUGUCCGGAAUUAUUGGGCGUAAAGGGUACGUAGGCGGUUUAAUAAGUCCUAAUUAAAAGGCUAUGGCUCAACCAUAGUAUGGUUAGGAAAAUGUUGAACUUGAGUAGAUGAGGGGAAAGUGGAAUUCCAUGUGUAGCGGUGAAAUGCGUAGAUAUAUGGAGGAACACCAAUGGCGAAGGCAACUUUCUGGAAUCAAACUGACGCUGAGGUACGAAGGCGUGGGGAGCAAACAGG
RNAcentral lists this ribosomal RNA (403 nucleotides) under Fusobacteriota bacterium. Its description in RNAcentral is "Fusobacteria bacterium partial 16S ribosomal RNA". It matches the Rfam family "Bacterial small subunit ribosomal RNA", at positions 355 to 776 of the family's 1533-position model. Lineage: Bacteria; Fusobacteriati; Fusobacteriota. The record is from RNAcentral.